This 429-nucleotide ribosomal RNA is filed under the name Bacteroidota bacterium. RNAcentral describes it as "Bacteroidetes bacterium partial 16S ribosomal RNA". It matches the Rfam family "Bacterial small subunit ribosomal RNA", at positions 355 to 776 of the family's 1533-position model. Lineage: Bacteria; Pseudomonadati; Bacteroidota. The record is from RNAcentral.
UAGGGAAUCUUCCGCAAUGGACGCAAGUCUGACGGAGCAACGCCGCGUGAGUGAAGAAGGAUUUCGGUUCGUAAAACUCUGUUGUUAGAGAAGAACAGCGCAUAGAGUAACUGUUAUGCGUGUGACGGUAUCUAACCAGAAAGCCACGGCUAACUAGGUGCCAGCAGCCGCGGUAAUACGUAGGUGGCAAGCGUUGUCCGGAUUUAUUGGGCGUAAAGCGAGCGCAGGCGGUCAAUUAAGUCUGAUGUGAAAGCCCCCGGCGCAACCGGGGAGGGUCAUUGGAAACUGGUUGACUUGAGUGCAGAAGAGGAGAGUGGAAUUCCAUGUGUAGCGGUGAAAUGCGUAGAUAUAUGGAGGAACACCAGUGGCGAAGGCGACUCUCUGGUCUGUAACUGACGCUGAGGCUCGAAAGCGUGGGUAGCAAACAGG